GAUGGAAGAACGUAGCGAAAUGCGAUAAGUAAUGUGAAUUGCAGAAUUCAGUGAAUCAUCGAAUCUUUGAACGCACAUUGCGCCCCCUGGUAUUCCGGGGGGCAUGCCUGUCCGAGCGUCAUUACAACCCUCAAGCUCAGCUUGGUGUUGGGCCCCGCCGCCCCGGCGGGCCCUAAAGUCAGUGGCGGUGCCGUCCGGCUCCGAGCGUAGUAAUUCUUCUCGCUCUGGAGGUCCGGUCGUGUGCUCGCCAGCAACCCCCAAUUUUUUUCAGGUUGACCUCGGAUCAGGUAGGGAUACCCGCUGAACUUAAGCAUAUCAAUAAGCGGAGGA
This 330-nucleotide unclassified non-coding RNA is filed under the name soil metagenome. RNAcentral's name for it is "partial contains 5.8S ribosomal RNA, internal transcribed spacer 2, and large subunit ribosomal RNA". The stretch from base 5 to 121 matches the Rfam family "5.8S ribosomal RNA", at positions 38 to 154 of the family's 154-position model. The record is from RNAcentral.